Pipra filicauda (Wire-tailed manakin) is the source of this 210-nucleotide long non-coding RNA. RefSeq lists it as uncharacterized. NCBI's taxonomy places the organism in Eukaryota, Metazoa, Chordata, Aves, Passeriformes, Pipridae. The transcript is spliced from 3 exons. The record is from RefSeq and is a predicted model, not a curated record.
CCUGAUGAUCUUUUGAAAGGAGUAAGAGUUCACAAAUGGAACUAUGAUGAGAAGAUAAAAUAUUAUUUUUCAAAGGAUGCUGAGGAAUUCUGGAAAUGAGACUCCCACUCCUUGGUGUUUGGUGACCUGCCACUGGGAAUGAAGUUUGAGUACUGAAGACAACAUCUAUCAAAUUUAAGUCUCCUAUAUGAAGACAACUCUAGUCUAGCC